This 450-nucleotide ribosomal RNA is filed under the name uncultured bacterium. RNAcentral describes it as "partial 16S ribosomal RNA". It matches the Rfam family "Bacterial small subunit ribosomal RNA", at positions 354 to 796 of the family's 1533-position model. The record is from RNAcentral.
GUGGGGAAUUUUGGACAAUGGGGGCAACCCUGAUCCAGCAAUGCCGCGUGCAGGAAGAAGGCCUUCGGGUUGUAAACUGCUUUUGUACGGAACGAAACGGUCCUGGUUAAUACCCGGGGCUAAUGACGGUACCGUAAGAAUAAGCACCGGCUAACUACGUGCCAGCAGCCGCGGUAAUACGUAGGGUGCAAGCGUUAAUCGGAAUUACUGGGCGUAAAGCGUGCGCAGGCGGUGCUGUAAGACAGGCGUGAAAUCCCCGGGCUUAACCUGGGAAUUGCGCUUGUGACUGCAGUGCUGGAGUGCGGCAGAGGGGGAUGGAAUUCCGCGUGUAGCAGUGAAAUGCGUAGAUAUGCGGAGGAACACCGAUGGCGAAGGCAAUCCCCUGGGCCUGCACUGACGCUCAUGCACGAAAGCGUGGGGAGCAAACAGGAUUAGAUACCCUAGUAGUCC